Molecule: ribosomal RNA, 657 nt
Filed under: Amputoearinus fernandezi
Lineage: Eukaryota; Metazoa; Arthropoda; Insecta; Hymenoptera; Braconidae
Description: partial 28S ribosomal RNA
Rfam family: Eukaryotic large subunit ribosomal RNA
Source: RNAcentral
CCUGAGAAACCUAAAAGUUCGAAAGGAGAGAUUCAAUGUCAGUAUAUAUUGUAUUCACGUGAGUAGUGAUGUAAAUUUUUAGCUUUUUGUUAUUAUUUGCACAUUUUCAUGUUUUUUUAUUGCAAUAUUUUUACCGGCGUGCACUUCUCUUCUAGUAGAACGUCCCGACCCGUUGAAUCUUGGCCUACGGCAUGGAUGGUAGCCUUUAUUUCUUUUUGAAAUAAAGACCUCUAAUGUACUCCUGGCUAUAGUAUUCGACGGUAUUGCAUAAUAAUGACGUGGUAUUAAGCCGCAAAAAUUUUUUUUUGUGCGUCUGGCCUGUCGCAAGUUUAUUGACAUUUUUCGUAUAAUAUAGACUCUGUGCUAUAUUUAUGGUAUGGAUAUGUUGGCUUUUGCAUGACUGUGCUCUUGGACUGGCUUCUAAAUACCUGUCAGGGACGCUUAGGCUUUGGGUACUCUCAGGACCCGUCUUGAAACACGGACCAAGGAGUCUAACAUGUGCGCGAGUCAUUGGGUAUAUAUUUUUCUUCGGAAAUUUAUAUAAAACAAACCUAAAGGCGAAAUGAAAGUAAAGGUUAAACCUAGCGUUUAACUUAGGGAUGAUGAGUUAUUAAUUUAUCUCCGCAAUCCCAGGGCGUCAUAAUCUCUACGAGAUUU